UACGUAGGGUGCGAGCGUUUAAUCGGAAUUACUGGGCGUAAAGCGUGCGCAGGCGGUUUUGUAAGUCAGAUGUGAAAUCCCCCGGGCUCAACCUGGGAACUGCGUUUGAAACUACAAGGCUAGAGUGUAGCAGAGGGGGGGUAGAAUUCCACGUGUAGCAGUGAAAUGCGUAGAGAUGUGGAGGAAUACCAAUGGCGAAGGCAGCCCCCUGGGUUAACACUGACGCUCAUGCACGAAAGCGUGGGGAGCAAACAGG
Molecule: ribosomal RNA, 256 nt
Filed under: uncultured bacterium
Lineage: Bacteria
Description: partial 16S ribosomal RNA
Rfam family: Bacterial small subunit ribosomal RNA
Source: RNAcentral